UCCCAAAACAACCAAAUGUUUUCCAAAUGUUGAAGUAAUGGGCUUUAUUGCACUGCUUCAUCCAAAGCCUCAUAAGGAGAAGUACUGAGCUGGGAAAAGUAGAGCACAGCUACCUGUUCACCAGUUCUGGAGGACUGAAAAAUGUUGGUUACAGGAAAGGAAGUUGAUACUGCUGCAAACAUUGCUCCUCACAAACACACGCGUCUCCUUGUUUUGUGCCCUGGAGUCCAGCGUGCUGAGAUGGCUCCUUAGAGGCAUCCUUAGAGGUGGCUGAGAUUGCAGUGGGGCCUUGGGCUUGCUCUGUCCUGCUGGCAGAGUUCUAUGGCUGGGUGGACACAUGACUCCUCUGAUGUGCUUUAGGUGGUCCAACUGGUUCAUGUGAAGGCUGUGAAGUAGUAAGGAUGGAAAGACAUUAAGGCUCCAAGUGACAAUGUAACCCACAAAAUAAGAAAAAGAUGAAUCGUGCUUUUUAUCAGACUCAUCCUUUGAGGUUGCUGUGUGUCCUUUGAGGUGAUGUUGCAGUCAAAGCCUUGUCAGCAAGUGCAUAUAGACGUGUAUCACUGUGUUAAUAUUGUCUGAUUCGAUGGGAAUGAAAGAUGUUGGAUUGAACCCCCCCUGAGAUGACAACCUAAUUCUUGGCAGAUCAGUUUCCCCACUGCCCUUCACCACUGCGUCUCAGAACUGAGCUGGAAGGACCAUCUUUUAGUAUUAGUGAGAAACUGUUAAUCUUCAUGACUCAGUCUCUGGCUUAACUGGUGAUAAUUCUAGUGAGAAUGGUGAUGAUUGGUAGAUCUGGUGAUGGGAAGACAACAUUGAUUUCAUAUUAAUGAAUAGGCUAUCUGACCAAGCGUGUCACAGAUAGCCUCUAUAUUUCUGCAGCUGCUUUGAAUUGUAGGGGAGAAGGACACUUUGAAAGUCUAGGGCCACUCAAUUCCUUGGAGAACCAACUUGGAAUGUUUGCCAUUGAACUGCUAGUUUCUGUUUUGGAAUGGAGGUUCACAUGUUAAUCUUCAGUUUGAGAGUGAAAAUCCCCCAGUUGAAGGUAAUGAUGGGGGAGUACGUUACAUGUCGAGUAACAGCUGCACUGAUAAAAAUGCGAGGGAAUAGAAAUGGUUGUACAGAAUGAAACCAUUCAGUUUGUUAUCUCAGUGUAGGUUAGGCAGCCAAGCCUGGCAAUGCCUGCCCAGUAUUGUGUUCUGCACAUUAGCCCAAAUCACCUAAUCAUAGGUGCUAAAUUGAAGUGGGAUAUGGUAAAUACUGACUGCAUGAGUAGUGCUGCAUGCCAUAAAUUUUAAACUUCUCUAACAUCCAGGGUAUAUCUCCUGAAACUGGAGUUCAGCCCCUGGUUCUACUGGUGCUGUGUAGUUGUCACUUAACUUCUCAUCUUCCUCCUUGCUCAGUAAUUACUGACAUUUCAUACAGAGCACCCAGCAUGUCUGUAGGGUGCUCAUGUUCCUGUGUAAUGAGUAGGACUUAAUGAGGGGAACAAAUCUUAGAAAAUCCCACGCAGAUCCACAUUCAUUGGUCAUGGUACUGGUGUCUGUGAUAGAUUGAUGCUCAGAAGAGAGACAGGGAUGCUUUGGACAGCAUAGAUGAGCCUCUUGUAUCUCUCAGGAGCCUCUUUCAAGUCUCCAAAGAAGAACAUAGUGUAAUUUGGCACUUAUUAUUUCAUUGCAUCAGCUUUUCUGAGCCUGGAAGUGCUCUUAGCACAAGCAAAUAAAUUACCCGUCUCAUUUUGCUCCGUGCUCUGCAGCCAGCCAUAUGUUUGAGCCUGAUAGAGAUUCUUAUCUCACAGGCUAAAAUUACUCAAUGGAGGAUGACAUUUCUUAUCAAGGGCUUUGCUGAAUCAGAGAGUGGCUCUGGCACCCAGCUCAGAGACACCGCUCCUUCUUGUCCCAGCCUGGCAAUAAAUGGAUUUGUGUCUGUAGGUCAGAGGAGCUUGCGUCAAGAUUCGGUUGCAGAUGGAUACUCUGAGAACUGUCUGUGCCUGGAAGGUUGCAAACAGCCAUCUCCUUCUACCAGAAGCUUUUCUCCAUACUUAAAGCUUGCAUACAUCUUUGUUUCUCCAUCCUUCUUCCUUCUAAUUAAUAGUUAUUUUCCUUCUUCUUUUUCUCUCUUGUGUUGCUUAGUAUCUGUUAGCUGCCAAUGAUUCAGGGUAUUCACCAGCUGUGUAGCAGGAAGAAACUUGUACUCUCCCUUUACCCAUCACCUUUAAAUGGGGGAAUUUCACUCUCAAAUUGAAGGUUAGCAUGUGAAUUUUCAUUCCAGAACAGAAACUUACACUUCCCUGUGGCUUCUUCUUUUACAGCAUCUUUCCUCCAGCUUUUCUAUGCCUGGUCCAAGGAAGUUUUACCCCUUGGAACCUUCCUGGGCAGUAAAUGAAACCACGCAUUACUGACAAGGACCAUUUAAAUGUUCUCUGUGGAUUUUUUCUCCCAAGUGGUCUCACACUAUGGAUAACUCAUGGGCUGAUUUGAAGACAUUUCUGUGUCCUGUCUCCCACCCUCCCACUUUGUGUCCUGCACUCAGUCACAGCAAGCAGCAUGGAAGUCCCAGCUCCUUUGUGCCAUCACCUGCUGACUGGCUUGCCUUCUACACAGAGUUCCUUUCUACUCUGUUUUUCUUGCUGUAUCAUGGUUUUCUAACUAUGGAAGCACUACAGAGGAGCUGCACCGUGCGCUGCUGACCCCAGGGUGGGGAGUAAGUAGGAGCUACGGUGUGCCUUUGUGAGUUGCAUUAUCGAGGAGAGAGGCUUUCUGACAUGCCAUAUAGUGUCAAAAACCAUUCAUUUCACCCUUCACAGCAAAAGUCCUUUUUUAUUUUAUUUUAUUUUAUUUUAUUUUUGUCUUCCAAAACAGGGUAUUUGUGGUUAAAGAUCCUUUGUAUGCACAUCAAGGUCAUACUAAAAAAAAAAGCCUUGAACUCAAUUGCACAGAUAAACUCAGACCACCGGGGAAUUCCUGCUUAGCUGUUCACCUUUUCUUUCUUCAGUUCCUUGCAAGAUACCUAUUUUAUUUCUGUUAUUUACUGUGUUUAAUGUUUUUCCCACCAGAGUUCUUGUUGUCUCUUCGCAUUCUGUAAAGCUCUAUGUCAAGCUAUGCGAAAAAAAAAUCAGCAAUAGCUGGAAACUGGAGGUGACAUCCUUGUGUUUCAGGUUUGCCCUGGACUGUUUUCUGGUGUUUGGGCUAGAUCUGAACCUCACACCAUACACUGCCAUGUGUCCAUGGUGAUGUUCUGUCUGGGAAGAUGAGCCCAGAAAUCUUCAGGGAGCUCAGGAAAAGAAAGAGAUGGAAAACAAGAAGAUGCUGGCAAGAGUUUAGCUACGUAGUUUGCUCUGAAAAUAAUGCCUCCUAUUUGUUUCCAUGGAAACUGCAGCAGAUGCAAAGAGCACAAUAACACUCUUUGAUAGAACAAAUUCUCAACUACAAAACACUAUUUUUCAACACAGACAUUGUCAUUAGCUAUGCAUUUUUGCCAGCAGUGAACAAGAGUCUGCAUGCUGCGUUCACAGCAGCAGUACAAGUCACAGGGAUGAAAAAAACUGUAGAAACAAUGAAGAGAUAAAAGGACACUUCAGAGCAACAGGGAACUGCAAAACUAGAAACUACUGCUGUAUACGUCCAGAGAUACAUACUGCAGCUGGGUUUGGUUUUGUGGGUGCUCUGGCAUUCAUGUGGGUAAUGGCGAUAAUCGUUGUGUGUGGUGAUGAGUUUUGUUGUUUGGUUUUUCUUCAGUGUAAAAUUAACAGUCAAAUUGCAUUGGUAGGGCAGCAAGCCUGGUGUGGCUUUUAUCUACCCAGAACCUGGGGACAAAGGAGGAGGGGAAAAUGGCUCAGCCAGUUCAGUAGCCAUGCCUGUAACAGUCCAGGAGUUCAAAGCAAAAUGCACAACAGUCAGAUGCACAAACCCACCUGGGCUUUGGCUGAUAAGUGGCAUCUCAAAGUGAAACACAAUCCUGAAGGGGUUCUGAAACUGAAUCUUUGAAAAGGGUUUUCAUGAGGAGUAAUGUGAACAGAAAUGGCUCUUUUCUGGUUUUGCACAUUCCAAACAUGCCAGGACUGUUUCUGUCAAGGAUGGGGUUUGGGUUUUUUUUUCCUUGUGCAAAAUAUUUGCCACAAACUGGCAUCUGAAAUAGUGUAAAAUAAAUGAGAGUUACAAAAUCAUUACGGUAUCAUCAGUGGAAACUAUGAGGCUUAUAGUUACGCUGGCUGCAGAGUUUCACCCUGUUGUCUACACUGCUGUGUUAUUGGGAUUGAAGCAGCACUUUUGCCUGUUAAUAUACUUCAAGAUGGAUGCUUUAAAAGCAGAGCUGUAACUGUUGGUUAUCCAAAACUUGGACAGAUGGGGUGCCACAGACUUUUUGUACGUACAAAAGGAAUUUCUUUUCAGCUAAGCCACUGUUCAGUGAAUCCACUUAGUGCCAGUGCAGGUAUGUGAACAUACAGCAUCUUUGCAUCAUGACAGCAGCCUUCAUUUCCACAGAUCUCCGAGUACAGAAAUGCUUCAGGUGUUCUGGUUUCAGACAGGCUGCAUCAGUUUGGCUUGCACCUGUACACUUAGAUACAAACAGGAUUUAAAUGGAUUUAAUGAGUUCCCACAAGCAGAACGACUGUGCCGUAAACCUUGAAUGAUAAAAUCAUAGAAUCACAGAAUUAUUCGAGUUCAAAGAGACCCUCAAAUCCUUCCAGCUUCAACCAGCUGCUGUGGGCAGGGUUGCCACCCACCACCAGAUUAGGCCCCAUCACCAGGGCCCCAUCUAACCUGGCCUUGAAUGCUUCCAAGGAUGGGGCAUCCACAGCUUCACUGAGGAGUCUGCCUUAACUGAAGCCUCACAUGUGGUGAAACACUAGAUAUUUUAUGUAGACCUGGACUGUUAAAUGAUUGUCUCACUCAUAAGUCAUCAUGUCAUGCUUUUUUAGCUCUGUGUGAUGCCAUACUCCUAUGUGCCACGUGGGUAGCAGUAGCCUGUGGGUGGCUGAGAAGGCCACAGCCAGAGGUGCUCUUGCACUUGUGCAGCAAUCACCUCACUAACUGAACUGAACAAGGAGUAUGGCUAUAAGCAUGUGGUGUGGAUCUCAGCCCCCUGGAGACACCCUGCAUAAGCCCUGGGCACUGUUAUCAAUGGCACCACACCGACCACCCCAAGCUUUUGCUUUUCAGCCCAUGUUUGACCACAGCACAAGUGCAGGUAGACGGUAAGAUGCAAAAGGUGAGAAAGUAUCUCUUUGAAAGUGGAAUGAAAGAGACACUGUUGGAAUGAACCUUCUGGCUUGAUUUUAUUAAACAUGAAUAUGGUUAUUUAGUGAUGAAUGGCUACUUGCAGGAGCAGGAGUUGAGGUGUGGUGCCUGAAAUCCUUUCCCACUCUCAAACACAUACUGGAGUUCCAGGGGUGGGAGUCAUCUUGAAGGUCAGUGAGUGCAGGAACUUUUAUCACUAGGACUGUCAUCAAAUGCUGCACUUGCAAGGCACAAUGAAGGAAGAGCUUGUAUUAAGUUGAUAUUCAACCUAAUUCUUUUCACUUGAGAGGGGUCUGGCUUUGCAGCCUUCUUCUUGCCAUUUUGGAUUUGUUUCCUUAAAAAAAUGGAAAAGUCCUCACUACUCCAUCAGUGCUUCCAACCACAAAAAAAAUGGAAACAAAAGGUUGGAAGGUGCAGUUAACAGCAAGCUGUGUUUUUACUGAGCCUGUCUUAGGUAAAUGGUUCUGAAGUGGAUUUUGCUCCAGCUCUUCAAGGUCUCUGCUUUGGAAAUAUUUGUUGUUGUGAAACUGUAGCAAGCUUUACAAGUGGUAGAAAAAAAAAUUGCUUUUAUAACCAAAUAAAUGUGUUUUCCUAGCAAGUCAUACAGACAGAUAAAUGUAUGUUUGGAAAAUUUUUGUUUCUAACCAAAAUAACUUCUGCACUGUGUUAUCUCAAGUGGGAAAACAAGUGGACCUUGAAUUGCAUUUUAAAGUUGAUUUCACCCAUUUAACAGCUACAAAAGAUUAUUUUGAGAUGCUCUGUUUUCUUUCUCUUGGCAUGUCCUUAUUCAGUAUUUUGUGCUUCAGAAUCCCUAUUUUACUUCAUUAUGAUGAUUUGAGAGUUUUGAUUGAAAGGGCAAAAACACAUGAAAAGUUAUGUGUCCUCAAGAAGGCUACGGCAAGUUAUGCAGUGCUGAAGAACUGCUGACAACCUGUAGAAGAGCCAGUUUUUGACAGCACAGGAAGUGGUCAGCACCUCAUUUGACAUCCUCACAUCAAAGCUGGACAGUAGGCCGGUCGAGAUGUUCCGUUAGAACCACAAAUUAUUGGGCUUCAGGCAGAAAUCACUGGAUGAAAUUCUGUGGUCUUUAUGAGGCAGGAGGUCAGACAAAAUCAUUUUACUGGUUUCCCUCAGCCUUUAGUAUUUAUGAAUCAUACAGUCAGGGUUUGGGGUUUUUUGAGUUUCCAUGAAAAAAUUUGCAUUGGUAAUAUGCAGACAACAAAACUGACCUGUUCUGUCAUCUUUUCAUCUUAUUUUGCUUUUGAAUUGUCCUGUAAGAAAGAUGAACUUGGACUUGUUACUCACAUUUCAGUAUGGGUGGCAAAAAGUAAAUCCACCUUGAUUAUUAUAGACAUCCCACAACUGCAGGAAUGAGUGAUGCCCAGUGACAGCCCUGAUUUAUCAAACAUCUGAGCACCAACUCAUCACUGUAGAACAGCUAACAAUGGUCUCAUCUGUGUUCCCAGUGGGAGUUGUGCACUGUGUGAUCCUGAAGCAAGGCAAAGACAGAUUGAAAAGCACCAUGCUAAUGACCACAUACUUUGUUUGCAUGCUACCAAAGCUGGGGCUACAGAAGCCAGCAGGAAAGUAAGAGGCAGCUUAGUUGCCUGUGUAGGAGUCCCUGAAUUCCAGUCCUGUACCCUACCUUGUUGCAACAGAGAAACUGGGGAAAGCCCAAAGCAGUGCUCUAGUUGGAGAAAAGAAAAAAUAAUGUGGCAGAAACGAGUUUUGAAGCAAAGGCAUGGGGUGUAUGAUGAGUCGGUUUGACACUCCUGAGGCUGCUUUCUUCACCUCCAGAGUCCUCUUCCAACCUUAACUAUUCCAUGAUUCUGUCACUUUGCCAAAUGUCACAGGACAGCCUGUAUCCACAUAGCAUCAACUUUCCAUCUUUCCAUACUCGGUGCCCACAGUCAGCUGAUCGUUGGGAAUGGUCUGUCUUGACUGUUGCUCUGUAUUCAGGAUGGUGCUAAUUGUCAUGAGCCAAGAGCAUGUGAAGGAGCAGUGUAACAGCAGUAAGAAUUUAAUCAGCAGUGACUGGGAAUAUUCCUUUGAACUGUUUACUACUAAUGAUAUAAUGAACCCUCUAAGGGCUGUCUCUGAUAAAUAGCACUAUGCAAACCAACAAAUAACAAAACACAAAAUCAUGCACUUGUGGUAUUUAAAUAUAUUGUGGUGUGGUUGGAAAUGAAUUCAGGUUCAGUCUCAAGCCUAAGUGGGGCUAUCUUCACAACACAGUGUCAGAGAAGUUUAAUAGGUCUUCAUGCAUAGUAACAGAAUCCAAGCUCUUGAUGGAGCAAUGAGACAGAAAGGAUUUCCCUAAUUCUGAAGGGUAAGUAUAUUCAGGGAAGGGAUGCUGCCUUUUGAAGACAGAGUUGCAGGUGUCUGCACUUGAAGAGAGAUGGGAAAAUGCCAAGAAGUAUUUCAAGGAGAGCCAUGAAGUGACUUGAGAUUGCAAAACCAAAACUCCUUGAUGUGAGGCUUAAGGAGCUCGGUUAUUUAUUUGGCUAUUUGGGAAGAAGGCUGGGAAAGGGUGACUUGACUCCCAGAUCUGAUGGAAGAAACUUUGGUCAGUGGCUUGAUGUGCAGAAGGAACCCUUGGAAGCCUUAUGGCUUUCCGGAUUUUGGAGAAAAUCCCAUUGUCUGCCUUGGGUCAUCUAUGUGCUUUGCAGCUUUACUCUAAAAUAUUGAGCUUAUUAUGUAGAGAUGUUGGGUGAAGGGGAGUGAUCUGCAAGAUACUGAAUGCAGGGUAGAUAAUGUCUGUCAUUCUGUCUUUACAUUCAGAGUCCUGACAAUGCUCAGCACCUUCCUCCAUCCAUCCCAGAUAUAGGGAGAUCCUCCAGUACAUGGCACAGUUUAAACUAUUGGAUCAAAAGCCAUUGAGCCAUCUUGAUUUAAGGCAAUUGUCUAAAACAGGAUAACAGUGCUCUUAGAAAACAACAAACAUGGAGUAUAUUCAAGCUCCCUGAAAAUCCUGUCAUUACGGAGAACAUAUGAAAAUGGUGGCCUCUCUGAAAGAAGAUUUUUAUCCUUCAAUUUCAUUCUUAGUUUUGAAUAAAUAUAUUUCACAUAACUUAAAAAGCUGUGAUUUUUCCCCCUUGCUUGCUGCAGUGUUCUGUUCUCAAAAUGUUUAUUCACACAUGCAGAUUUUCAUAACAGCGAAUAUUUUUUUAUAAACUAGUGGAUGGUAAAUCAAAGGAGAAGAUGAGCGGAAGCCAAAAGCUGAGUUUUGAUUAUUGCUGAUUUUGUUCUAGUUUCCUUUUUAUUUAAGCAAGAUGGCAUGGGUUUCACUUUGACCCACUUUCAAAUCUAAUUAGUGAAUGAACAGAGAAUGGAGAAGAAUGAAGAGAGAAGCUGUGCUCAUUUGAACUUCAAAAAUGCAGCAGGUCAAGACAGGAGAGGCUAGUAGCAAUCCUGCUCUGAUGGUACGCUCAGAGUUGAGCGUCUUACAGCUUGUCUUAUCUUACCAUUUUUUUGUUACUAGUAGCAAAUUUCAAAUGAGAGGAAGGAGACGAUGACAAAGGCACCACUAGCACAGCUCUCACAUUUUUCCUUGACUCUCCUUCAGGUGACAGCAGUGUGCAUCUCUACAGUUGUCAUGGUUGCAUCUGGUGCUUUGUUUUUAUGUAGGGCACAUCCAUGCAGAUAUGUGGGGAUAGACAGAUGGGUGCUUGUUGUGGUCCCUGAGCUCUGGGGCCUUCUAUUAGUGCCAAGGCUCAACUAAAAAGCUUUGCUCAGAGGAAGGGUAUAUUAACUUCAGUUAGCAGUGUCAUAGCACAGUUGCAAAACUCCCAGGGAAGAACAAGGUUACCAACAGCUUUCUUGGCUCUGGGAAGAUGAACGUCUGGCUGUCUGUGAUUAAUCCAAGAUUUUGCUAAGCCAUUCUCCACAGCAACUCUGUCUUUCUACUGGCAGGGAAGAAGCUUCAGACAGAUUUGGAAAAUUCACCCCCAUAGCUGCUUCCUGAAGAAGCAGCAGGAGAACCAUGUUUUAUUUACCUAAAGAAAUCAGUGCUACUCCAUUGACUGAUGGAUUUGGAUUGCUUUUUGCCAGCCAAGAAGCUGACCUGCUGAGUGUGUCAGAGGCAGCUGGUCACUGGCUGCCUGAUGCAUCCAGCUAGACCUUGCUUUCAACUGUUUAGAGCUUGGGAAAAGUUAAUUGUUUCAAACUCAUUUUUCCACACCAGAAAAUGAUCAUUAUGAGAACAGUUCACUUUCCUAUGACUUUGGCAUUUCUAGUUUCAUUCUUCAUUGUACAGUGUCAGCACCAGCUCCUUUCCUUCCUCUCAUGUGUCCUUCCUUUUUUUCUUGUCCUCUCAGGAACAAGGAAGGGCUAAGCUGGUGUUGCAGCUCCUGAGAUCUUCCUCACAGGCACCCAUGGCCGGUGUCUGGAACAGUCUCAAUGCUAG
This is a long non-coding RNA of Tympanuchus pallidicinctus (lesser prairie-chicken), 9642 nucleotides long. RefSeq lists it as uncharacterized. The transcript has 3 exons. NCBI's taxonomy places the organism in Eukaryota, Metazoa, Chordata, Aves, Galliformes, Phasianidae. The record is from RefSeq and is a predicted model, not a curated record.